GACAGAGGGUGCAAACGUUGUUCGGAAUUACUGGGCGUAAAGCGUGUGUAGGCGGCUACGCAAGUCGGAUGUGAAAGCCCCAGGCUUAACCUGGGAAGUGCACCCGAUACUGCAUGGCUCGAGUAUCGGAGAGGUUGGUGGAAUUCUCGGUGUAGAGGUGAAAUUCGUAGAUAUCGAGAGGAACACCGGUGGCGAAGGCGGCCAACUGGACGAAUACUGACGCUGAGACACGAAAGCGUGGGGAGCAAACAG
This 252-nucleotide ribosomal RNA is filed under the name uncultured bacterium. RNAcentral's name for it is "partial 16S ribosomal RNA". It matches the Rfam family "Bacterial small subunit ribosomal RNA", at positions 524 to 775 of the family's 1533-position model. The record is from RNAcentral.